Chionomys nivalis (European snow vole) is the source of this 1573-nucleotide long non-coding RNA. RefSeq lists it as uncharacterized. The record is from RefSeq and is a predicted model, not a curated record. The transcript is spliced from 3 exons. Lineage: Eukaryota; Metazoa; Chordata; Mammalia; Rodentia; Cricetidae.
CGGCCCUCGGUCCGCCUUGGCAGCGCGGCUCCCGUGACUCAGCCGCCGGCCCAGCGCUGGCCCCCGUUCCCCGCCGCGCGGAAGAGAGGCACCGCUCGGCCCGAGACGCCGGCCAGGGUGGGGGUCGCCGCCCGCUCGCCCGCCCUCCCUCGCGCCCUCGCUUUCCGGCUGCCGGAAACCGGCCCCGCCGGCCGUGGCCCCGCGGAGCCGCGGCGCCGCUCAGAUAUCUGGCUGGACAUCAGAAAUUGCUUUUGAUGGCUUAGGACCUCCUCCUUGAGACCCAAGGUCCCAGCCCACCAUCGAAGGACGUCAAGGCAGGAACCUGGAGGCAGGAGGAAGAGGCUGUGGAAGAAGAUGCUUACUGGUUUUCUCUUCAUAAGCUUUCUCAGUCUGUUUUUAAACAACUUGGGGCCAAAUGACCUUAUAAAUUAAAUAAAUUUAAUAUUACUUCCUUUAAUUAAUAAUAUUAUUUUACUUAAUAAUAGCUUUUAUUUCUGAAAUCACUGAUGCUAUAAUGUUCUCAGGUAACUAUAAAAGUAGUUCUAUAGAUCCAAACUAAGCCUUUUGUAAAUCUCAUCUUUUGUAACAUCAAGUAUGAUAUAGAACUGUACCCAUUACUUUCAAUGACACAGAAACAAAUUUAGAAGUUUUAAUGCUUAGGAUCAAUGGCUUCAACACAUUUCUCUAAAUAAUUAAAAUUGUGAUGUGAUUGAUUACUCUAAAAAUUGGGGCUGAAUAGAUCCCUCUUAGGUGAGAUUGUCUUGGUGACUGAUGGAAAAGAAUUUAGAGGCAAAACAAAACAACAAAGUUCUUGCCGAUGUGACUCAAGCCAAAUCCAUGCAGAUCCCGACACAGUUCAUAUAACUUUAAUUUCAUGCUUUCAUUCCAUUGGGUAAAACUUUUUACAUAUAAUUAUGGUCUUUAUACAAACACGAUGACAGGUAAUGUUAGCUUACAUAGAAUCAUGAAUAGGUUCAGUUUAUGAAACAGAGAAAGGGAAAACAGCAACAGAGGUUAAGAUCCAGGUAGACAGAAUAUUUCACCACCAAAAACAAUGAGUAUUUUAUCUACUAUCAUUUCUUAUCUUUAUAUGCUACUAUGAGAUUCCAAAAUGGGCUAUCAAAGACUGGGUGAUUUAUAAAGACAGUGAUUUUCACAGUGCUGAUGAUCCAUGACCAACACACCCACACAUUUGGGUUGGGAUGAAGGCUUUUCCUGUAUUGUAGACAGCUGUUUUCUGUGCCCUUUACAGUGGAAAGAGCAAGGAGGGAGCUUUGGUCUCUGCAUAGACUGCUAACUCUAUAAAGGGGGCUUCAACUUUAUAUCCAAGUUACCCCUCAAGAGCUCACCUCCCAAUACUUUCACACUGGGCAUGAGUAUUUCAACCUACAUGUUUUGAAGGGAACAUAAACAUUUGAUCCAUUGCAAUAAAUUGUAAUAUGUUGCACACUGAAUCUACAUCGACCACUGACAUUGAUUCUUUCAAUUUAAGUUUCAAUCAAACUUUUCCAAAUAUGAGUUUUUCCCUUAAAAAUUCUAAAAUAACAAGACACAUUCAAUAAUUUCAGCAAUA